RNAcentral lists this ribosomal RNA (372 nucleotides) under uncultured organism. RNAcentral's name for it is "partial 16S ribosomal RNA". It matches the Rfam family "Bacterial small subunit ribosomal RNA", at positions 527 to 896 of the family's 1533-position model. The record is from RNAcentral.
GUAGGUGGCAAGCGUUGUCCGGAAUUAUUGGGCGUAAAGCGCGCGCAGGCGGUUCUUUAAGUCUGAUGUGAAAGCCCACGGGCUCAACCGUGGGGGGUCAUUGGAAACUGGAGAACUUGAGUACAGAAGAGGAAAGCGGAAUUCCACGUGUAGCGGUGAAAUGCGCAGAGAUGUGGAGGAACACCAGUGGCGAAGGCGGCUUUCUGGUCUGUAACUGACGCUGAGGCGCGAAAGCGUGGGGAGCAAACAGGAUUAGAUACCCUGGUAGUCCACGCCGUAAACGAUGAGUGCUAAGUGUUAGGGGGUUUCCGCCCCUUAGUGCUGCAGCUAACGCAUUAAGCACUCCGCCUGGGGAGUACGGCCGCAAGGCUG